GGGCGCUUAGCUCAGCGGUAGAGCACUCGCCUUACAAGCGAGGGGUCACUGGUUCGAACCCAGUAGCGCCCA
Molecule: transfer RNA, 72 nt
Filed under: Sphaerisporangium melleum
Lineage: Bacteria; Bacillati; Actinomycetota; Actinomycetes; Streptosporangiales; Streptosporangiaceae
Also listed under: 9 other names
Rfam family: tRNA
About the family: Transfer RNA (tRNA) molecules are approximately 80 nucleotides in length. Their secondary structure includes four short double-helical elements and three loops (D, anti-codon, and T loops). Further hydrogen bonds mediate the characteristic L-shaped molecular structure. tRNAs have two regions of fundamental functional importance: the anti-codon, which is responsible for specific mRNA codon recognition, and the 3' end, to which the tRNAs corresponding amino acid is attached (by aminoacyl-tRNA synthetases). tRNAs cope with the degeneracy of the genetic code in two manners: having more than one tRNA (with a specific anti-codon) for a particular amino acid; and 'wobble' base-pairing, i.e. permitting non-standard base-pairing at the 3rd anti-codon position.
Source: Rfam by way of RNAcentral